AGCAAGUCGUACGCUUCUUUUUCCACCGGAGCUUGCUCCACCGGAAAAAGAAGAGUGGCGAACGGGUGAGUAACACGUGGGUAACCUGCCCAUCAGAAGGGGAUAACACUUGGAAACAGGUGCUAAUACCGUAUAACAAUCGAAACCGCAUGGUUUUGAUUUGAAAGGCGCUUUCGGGUGUCGCUGAUGGAUGGACCCGCGGUGCAUUAGCUAGUUGGUGAGGUAACGGCUCACCAAGGCCACGAUGCAUAGCCGACCUGAGAGGGUGAUCGGCCACAUUGGGACUGAGACACGGCCCAAACUCCUACGGGAGGCAGCAGUAGGGAAUCUUCGGCAAUGGACGAAAGUCUGACCGAGCAACGCCGCGUGAGUGAAGAAGGUUUUCGGAUCGUAAAACUCUGUUGUUAGAGAAGAACAAGGAUGAGAGUAACUGUUCAUCCCUUGACGGUAUCUAACCAGAAAGCCACGGCUAACUACGUGCCAGCAGCCGCGGUAAUACGUAGGUGGCAAGCGUUGUCCGGAUUUAUUGGGCGUAAAGCGAGCGCAGGCGGUUUCUUAAGUCUGAUGUGAAAGCCCCCGGCUCAACCGGGGAGGGUCAUUGGAAACUGGGAGACUUGAGUGCAGAAGAGGAGAGUGGAAUUCCAUGUGUAGCGGUGAAAUGCGUAGAUAUAUGGAGGAACACCAGUGGCGAAGGCGGCUCUCUGGUCUGUAACUGACGCUGAGGCUCGAAAGCGUGGGGAGCAAACAGGAUUAGAUACCCUGGUAGUCCACGCCGUAAACGAUGAGUGCUAAGUGUUGGAGGGUUUCCGCCCUUCAGUGCUGCAGCUAACGCAUUAAGCACUCCGCCUGGGGAGUACGACCGCAAGGUUGAAACUCAAAGGAAUUGACGGGGGCCCGCACAAGCGGUGGAGCAUGUGGUUUAAUUCGAAGCAACGCGAAGAACCUUACCAGGUCUUGACAUCCUUUGACCACUCUAGAGAUAGAGCUUCCCCUUCGGGGGCAAAGUGACAGGUGGUGCAUGGUUGUCGUCAGCUCGUGUCGUGAGAUGUUGGGUUAAGUCCCGCAACGAGCGCAACCCUUAUUGUUAGUUGCCAUCAUUCAGUUGGGCACUCUAGCAAGACUGCCGGUGACAAACCGGAGGAAGGUGGGGAUGACGUCAAAUCAUCAUGCCCCUUAUGACCUGGGCUACACACGUGCUACAAUGGGAAGUACAACGAGUCGCGAAGUCGCGAGGCUAAGCUAAUCUCUUAAAGCUUCUCUCAGUUCGGAUUGUAGGCUGCAACUCGCCUACAUGAAGCCGGAAUCGCUAGUAAUCGCGGAUCAGCACGCCGCGGUGAAUACGUUCCCGGGCCUUGUACACACCGCCCGUCACACCACGAGAGUUUGUAACACCCGAAGUCGGUGAGGUAACCUUUUGGAGCCAGCGUAG
Molecule: ribosomal RNA, 1429 nt
Filed under: Enterococcus durans
Lineage: Bacteria; Bacillati; Bacillota; Bacilli; Lactobacillales; Enterococcaceae
Description: bacterial SSU rRNA
Rfam family: Bacterial small subunit ribosomal RNA
Source: RNAcentral